UGGGGAAUAUUGGGCAAUGGGCGCAAGCCUGACCCAGCAACGCCGCGUGAAGGAAGAAGGCUUUCGGGUUGUAAACUUCUUUUCUCAGGGACGAAGCAAGUGACGGUACCUGAGGAAUAAGCCACGGCUAACUACGUGCCAGCAGCCGCGGUAAUACGUAGGUGGCAAGCGUUAUCCGGAUUUACUGGGUGUAAAGGGCGUGUAGGCGGGACUGCAAGUCAGAUGUGAAAACCACGGGCUCAACCUGUGGCCUGCAUUUGAAACUGUAGUUCUUGAGUACUGGAGAGGCAGACGGAAUUCCUAGUGUAGCGGUGAAAUGCGUAGAUAUUAGGAGGAACACCAGUGGCGAAGGCGGUCUGCUGGACAGCAACUGACGCUGAGGCGCGAAAGCGUGGGAGCAAACAGGAUUAGAUACC
This 416-nucleotide ribosomal RNA is filed under the name uncultured bacterium. RNAcentral describes it as "bacterial SSU rRNA". It matches the Rfam family "Bacterial small subunit ribosomal RNA", at positions 355 to 786 of the family's 1533-position model. The record is from RNAcentral.